Molecule: long non-coding RNA, 1736 nt
Organism: Neopsephotus bourkii (Bourke's parrot)
Lineage: Eukaryota; Metazoa; Chordata; Aves; Psittaciformes; Psittacidae
Exons: 2
Source: RefSeq, a predicted model, not a curated record
UUUCCUGGGAAGUGAGAAAGUGUGUUUAUUUGAGAAGCAAGACUGCCGAAGAAUCAGCUCCAUCCUGACCCACAGCAUGAAAGGAAAAUCUGCUUUGGAAACAGCAAAGUGAACAAGUCUUCUCUUGUUACUCUUGUUUCCUGGCUGCUGCAGAGUGAAUGUGACACCCUUCCAAAAAUUUGCAUCCCAAAUGCUGCCUGGGAACCUCAAGCGAAGCUAUCGAAUACUUCAUUUUGGAAAGGAAAUCUCUUCACCAGCUCUGGAGGAAGUAUGUAACAUGUGGUUCGACUGCAGUCAAACGUCAGUCUUGGCCGAUGGGAGGCUGAAUGUACGGCUCAACUGGUGUCACUGAUCUGCUGAGGCUGGCAGUGCCCACUGGUGGGAUAACACAAUUUUUAAGGCUUUGAAACUUGUUUUUGAACUCUUCUUCCUUGACAGGGAAAAGUGGUCUGGCAGAAGUGAGGUGGGCAGCCAGGUGAUAAGGUCCCUCAGUGGCAGCCACCUCACAAGCCCUCAAGGAUGGUCACAGCCCAUCACCAGGGUCCUGUUUGACUGGGUUUGCAGGCCACUGCUCAUUAAACCUUGAUUUUGGCACCUGUAAUAAAUGAGCCAUGUUCAUCCUUUUGGAAACCUAGGCAAAUUCCAAGAGCUGCAGCAGAGAUUAAUUUUGACCCAGCAAGUUACAGGGGGAAGCUGAAAAGUGUACUUGUCCCUUAAAAGACAAAACACACCUUUUGGGGAGCCUUUCUGUUUUGUAAGCAAGGAGACGACAGGGGUCAGAGAGCUCCUGGCGCCUGUGGACGAUUUUGGCCUUCAGCUUGAUGUUGGUUGUUAAAAAUAUUUCCCCAGAUGUAUUAAUACAACCAGACUGGAUUGCAUCUGAGCUGAACAUCGUGAGCCUAAGGCAGGACAUAAAUAUAGAAGCAAACCAGGCUGACAUAAGAGUCAUCUGUCCUCUUCUACACAAGAAGCGAAAGGGAAAGAGAGACAGCUUACUCUGUUGCAAUUUUUAGAUGCUUCCAGGCAUUAGCUUGGGCUUCUGCGAGUGCCUGCCCCGGGGCCCUGGGGCACAGCAGACCCCAUGUAUCCCUCGCUCAGCCCCCCGCAUGCUGUGCCACAGGACUGAGCACUCAGCACAUUUUUAACCCAGGGUUAGAUUUGCUUAGACAAGGUCUGCAAUUGGGAAUGACUAUUUGAUGUGUUUGCCUAACAGGAUUACCCUUAUCAUAAUGAUAUUGCAACCUGGCCUUGGCAGGGCAAACCCCAAGGUCUCAAGGGGUCAAACCCUCACCUCCCUUGCCCCAGAUAUGCACAGCAGAGCUUGCCUCUUAGCAUGCAAUAUCCAGCCAGUGUUUCAGUUGGCAUUUAAUACUCUGCUUUUGGAAAUGGCUCUUUUGCUGUGUACCACAGACUGCAGACACCACGCUUGGAAUUCAUCUCUCCACAUCUGAAAAAAAAUAAAAUCAAUAAUAUUUGAAGGCUGGAAAAACAAUGCAGUGUUUUACAAUUAGAGAACUGUACGCCUUCCCUGUUGGGAAUUGCCCUGAGCAGGUGCCUGACUGAAUUCAGUGUGAAUUUGUUGUCCUCUGGCUCCCUAAGAAUAGGUAAUGAACCAAUGAGUUGCCUGCUUUUUUUGUACUGUGUAUCGUGAACAUGCCUAAAAUCGUUACAGAAGCAUCUGUUUGUCCUAAAAGUGUAUCUGUGGUUAUUAAAGUCUGCUGACUUAAAAGACUCGA